Molecule: unclassified non-coding RNA, 210 nt
Filed under: Hevea brasiliensis (rubber tree)
Lineage: Eukaryota; Viridiplantae; Streptophyta; Magnoliopsida; Malpighiales; Euphorbiaceae
Source: RNAcentral
UGUCGAGUGUGCCGCCGUGGGCGAUCGGGCCGUCGUUGGUGAUGGUCGGAGUGAUGAUGAUGAAGGUGGUUAAGGAGGUAGAUUGGGGAAAUGUGAAGGAAGCGGCGCCGGCUUUUGUAACGAUGAUUUUGAUGCCGUUAACGUAUUCGAUAGCGAACGGGAUUGUGGGUGGGAUCGGAGUGUACGUCGCUCUGAGUCUAUACGACAACG